This 1196-nucleotide ribosomal RNA is filed under the name uncultured bacterium. RNAcentral describes it as "bacterial SSU rRNA". It matches the Rfam family "Bacterial small subunit ribosomal RNA", at positions 173 to 1373 of the family's 1533-position model. The record is from RNAcentral.
GUCUUUGGACCGCAUGGUUUGAAGAGAAAAGGUGGCCUCUUUACAAUGCUACCACUUACAGAUGAAUCCGCGUCCCAUUAGCCAGUUGGUGGGGUAAUGGCCUACCAAAGCGACGAUGGGUAGCCGGCCUGAGAGGGUGAUCGGCCACACUGGAACUGAGAUACGGUCCAGACUCCUACGGGAGGCAGCAGUGGGGAAUCUUCCGCAAUGGGCGAAAGCCUGACGGAGCAACGCCGCGUGAGCGAAGAAGGUUUUCGGAUUGUAAAGCUCUGUGAUAUUGAACGAGAGAAGUGACGGUACAAUAAGAGGAAGCCACGGCUAACUACGUGCCAGCAGCCGCGGUAAUACGUAGGUGGCAAACGUUGUCCGGAAUUACUGGGCGUAAAGGGCGAGUAGGUGGUUUGUUAAGUCAGAAGUGAAAACUCCAGGCUCAACUCGGGGGGUGCAUUUGAAACUGCCAGGCUUGAGUGCAGGAGAGGAAAGCGGAAUUCCUAGUGUAGCGGUGAAAUGCGUAGAUAUUAGGAGGAACACCAGUGGCGAAGGCGGCUUUCUGGACUGUAACUGACACUGAGGCACGAAAGCGUGGGGAGCAAACAGGAUUAGAUACCCUGGUAGUCCACGCGGUAAACGAUGGAUACUAGGUGUGUGGGGGAGAUACAACCUCCGUGCCGCAGCUAACGCAAUAAGUAUCCCGCCUGGGGAGUACGGCCGCAAGGCUGAAACUCAAAGGAAUUGACGGGGACCCGCACAAGCAGCGGAGCAUGUGGUUUAAUUCGAAGCAACGCGAAGAACCUUACCAAGGCUUGACAUCCCUUGACCGCCAUGGAAACAUAUGGUUUCCCUUCGGGGCAAGGAGACAGGUGGUGCAUGGUUGUCGUCAGCUCGUGUCGUGAGAUGUUGGGUUAAGUCCCGCAACGAGCGCAACCCUUAUCAUUAGUUGCCAGCGGGUAAUGCCGGGAACUCUAAUGAGACUGCCGGGGAUAACUCGGAGGAAGGUGGGGACGACGUCAAAUCAUCAUGCCCCUUAUGUCUUGGGCUACACACGUGCUACAAUGGCCGGUACAAAGGGCUGCAAACCCGUAAGGGGGAGCGAAUCCCAUAAAGCCGGUCUCAGUUCGGAUCGUGGGCUGCAACCCGCCCACGUGAAGCCGGAGUUGCUAGUAAUCGCGAAUCAGCAUGUCGCGGUGAAUGCGUUC